GCCGAAGUGGUGGAAUUGGCAGACGCGCUGCGUUCAGGGCGCAGUGGGCCCAGCGCCCGUGCGGGUUCGAGUCCCGCCUUCGGCA
Molecule: transfer RNA, 85 nt
Filed under: Limnochorda pilosa
Lineage: Bacteria; Bacillati; Bacillota; Limnochordia; Limnochordales; Limnochordaceae
Rfam family: tRNA
About the family: Transfer RNA (tRNA) molecules are approximately 80 nucleotides in length. Their secondary structure includes four short double-helical elements and three loops (D, anti-codon, and T loops).
Source: Rfam by way of RNAcentral